Molecule: ribosomal RNA, 468 nt
Filed under: uncultured bacterium
Lineage: Bacteria
Description: partial 16S ribosomal RNA
Rfam family: Bacterial small subunit ribosomal RNA
Source: RNAcentral
GACGAACGCUGGCGGCGUGCUUAAUACAUGCAAGUCGAACGGAAAGGCCAUGCUUUUGUGUGGUGCUCGAGUGGCGAACGGGUGAGUAACACGUGAGUAACCUGCCCUAGACUUUGGGAUAACUUGAGGAAACUGGGGCUAAUAAUGGAUAGGAGCUCAUGCUGCAUGUUGGGGGUUGGAAAGUUUCGGCGGUUGGGGAUGGAUUCGCGGCUUAGCAGCCUGUUGGUGGGGUAGUGGCUUACCAAGGCGUUGACGGGUAGCCGGCCUGAGAGUGUGACGGGCCACAGUGGGACUGAGAUACGGGCCGGACUCCUUCGGGGGGCAGCAGUGGGGAAUAUUGCACGAUGGGCGGAAGCCUGAUGCAGCGACGCCGCGUGCGGGAUGACUGCCUUCGGGGUGUAAACCGCUUGCGCCUGUGACGAAGCGUGUGUGACGGUAAUGGGUAAAGAAGCACCGGCUAACUACGUG